GCAGAACCUCAGCAGAUCACAGGAUAUUCAGGGACAAAGGUUACAAGAUAAACAAGUGACCACAUCAGCGAACAGGCACCGUGUGUUUGAAUCUGACCGACCUGAUGGAAUUAACUGCCUGGCCAACUGAUUUACAGACCUGAUGGAAUCAUCGCCCAGUUGGGUGACUUGUGGACUUGAUAUGAUCAACUGCACACGAACAGUUAGUUUGUAGACUGACAUAACUUUGAUGUCAGAAAGUGUAAGAAUGGUAUUGUGCGGGUGUUUGACAGAGAGAGCUGGAUUGUCCUGUGUGAUGGUCUGGAGUUCCUCUCCUGGCUGUAAUCGAUUCCCGCUGGAAUAAACUGCUGUUCCUGCUGAA
Molecule: non-coding RNA, 361 nt
Organism: Chiloscyllium plagiosum (whitespotted bambooshark)
Lineage: Eukaryota; Metazoa; Chordata; Chondrichthyes; Orectolobiformes; Hemiscylliidae
Source: RefSeq, a predicted model, not a curated record